RNAcentral lists this transfer RNA (72 nucleotides) under Rhaphidophora quadrispina. RNAcentral's name for it is "tRNA-Val". It matches the Rfam family "tRNA". Rfam says of the family: Transfer RNA (tRNA) molecules are approximately 80 nucleotides in length. Their secondary structure includes four short double-helical elements and three loops (D, anti-codon, and T loops). Further hydrogen bonds mediate the characteristic L-shaped molecular structure. tRNAs have two regions of fundamental functional importance: the anti-codon, which is responsible for specific mRNA codon recognition, and the 3' end, to which the tRNAs corresponding amino acid is attached (by aminoacyl-tRNA synthetases). tRNAs cope with the degeneracy of the genetic code in two manners: having more than one tRNA (with a specific anti-codon) for a particular amino acid; and 'wobble' base-pairing, i.e. permitting non-standard base-pairing at the 3rd anti-codon position. Lineage: Eukaryota; Metazoa; Arthropoda; Insecta; Orthoptera; Rhaphidophoridae. The record is from RNAcentral.
CAAAAUAAAGCUUUAUUAGUAAAGUUUUUCAUUUACACUGAGAAUAUUUUCGUGCAAUUCGAAUUAUUUUGA